This is a long non-coding RNA of Clupea harengus (Atlantic herring), 666 nucleotides long. The record is from Ensembl. NCBI's taxonomy places the organism in Eukaryota, Metazoa, Chordata, Actinopteri, Clupeiformes, Clupeidae.
GGCCUAUCCACAAGACAGAGACACAUGUUGAAUUUAAUAGUAUUGAUAAUCUUUCAUAGGAUGCUUUGAAACACCACCUCAAACUCCUUACCACUGAGAAGUCCAACCUUCACAGUCAACUUCUGGAUCUCCAUGCAAGGAUCCAGCAAGAAGGAAAGGCUUAUCAAAAAACAAAUGAAGACAGACGUGCAUAUAUAGCAGAGAUUGCAAAGGUGUCAUCAACUCUUGAUGUGAGCCGAAAGACACAGCUACAUCAACCACGAGGAAAUGGCAGGAUUCCAGUGAGAAGUGGCCAGGAAAAUAUGCUCAACAGGAAGUGUAACCCGAAAGGGAAGACAGGGGGUGCCACGGGAGCAUCAAACGGGAGCAGGUUACCCAAACUGAAGCGCUGACUCAUCAGAGACAUUGGAAAUCUCAAAUGCAUUGCUGUUACGGAUCAAUAAUGUUUGCCCCAUAUAUUCUGGCGAGCCUUAUCGACCUGCUACAAGCUAAAGGUUCAGUAUUAAUGUGAAAUAGAAUUGUCGUCAUUGAAAGUGCUCACGAAAAUAAUGUGUAAAAUAAGCUAAUGCUUUAGAGAUAGUGUGCUGUUUAAAAUUACUCCACUGACAGCCCACAUUUAUAUACACUGCAUUGAGUAGAAAAUUAUGUAGCAGGGUUUAGACAUUG